GACGAACGCUGGCGGCGUGCUUAACACAUGCAAGUCGAACGGAAAGGCCCUGCUUUUGUGGGGUGCUCGAGUGGCGAACGGGUGAGUAACACGUGAGUAACCUGCCCUUGACUUUGGGAUAACUUCAGGAAACUGGGGCUAAUACCGGAUAUGAUCUCCUGCUGCAUGGUGGGGGUUGGAAAGUUUCGGCGGUUGGGGAUGGACUCGCGGCUUAUCAGCUUGUUGGUGGGGUAGUUGCUUACCAAGGCUUUGACGGGUAGCCGGCCUGAGAGGGUGACCGGCGACAUUGGGACUGAGAUACGGACCAGACUGCUACGGGAGGCAGCAGUGGGGAAUAUUGCACAAUGGGCGGAAGCCUGAUGCAGCAACGCCGCGUGCGGGAUGACGGCCUUCGGGUUGUAAACCGCUUUCGCAUGUGACGAAGCGUGAGUGACGGUAAUGGGUAAAGAAGCACCGGCUAACUACGUG
This 468-nucleotide ribosomal RNA is filed under the name uncultured bacterium. RNAcentral describes it as "partial 16S ribosomal RNA". It matches the Rfam family "Bacterial small subunit ribosomal RNA", at positions 28 to 507 of the family's 1533-position model. The record is from RNAcentral.